GCACUGGUGAAGAGUUCCGUAAUAGGACGAAACGGCCGUCCAGUGC
Molecule: non-coding RNA, 46 nt
Organism: Schistosoma mansoni
Lineage: Eukaryota; Metazoa; Platyhelminthes; Trematoda; Strigeidida; Schistosomatidae
Source: Rfam